This 370-nucleotide ribosomal RNA is filed under the name uncultured bacterium. RNAcentral's name for it is "bacterial SSU rRNA". It matches the Rfam family "Bacterial small subunit ribosomal RNA", at positions 29 to 426 of the family's 1533-position model. The record is from RNAcentral.
AACGAACGCUGGCGGCAUGCCUAAUACAUGCAAGUCGAACGAGACCUUCGGGUCUAGUGGCGCACGGGUGCGUAACGCGUGGGAAUCUGCCCUUGGGUUCGGAAUAACAGUUAGAAAUGACUGCUAAUACCGGAUGAUGACGUAAGUCCAAAGAUUUAUCGCCCAAGGAUGAGCCCGCGUAGGAUUAGCUUGUUGGUGAGGUAAAGGCUCACCAAGGCUACGAUCCUUAGCUGGUCUGAGAGGAUGAUCAGCCACACUGGGACUGAGACACGGCCCAGACUCCUACGGGAGGCAGCAGUAGGGAAUAUUGGACAAUGGGGGAAACCCUGAUCCAGCAAUGCCGCGUGAGCGAUGAAGGCCUUAGGGUUGU